RNAcentral lists this long non-coding RNA (510 nucleotides) under Sorghum bicolor (sorghum). Its description in RNAcentral is "long non-coding RNA (SBIC_LNC000442)". The record is from RNAcentral. Lineage: Eukaryota; Viridiplantae; Streptophyta; Magnoliopsida; Poales; Poaceae.
CUACGACAAAUUUAGCAACAUCUACUGCUACACCAAUAGCCUGCCUCAUCGACAUAAUGCUAGCACUACUUAUGCCAGCUGCAACACUGUCAGUGACAACAACAUAAACGGUGAUAACCAAUCUGAUGCGAGUGCAACCAUCUUCGUCACGAUCUCUACAUGAAGGGUUCAUGAAAAUCUAGGAGCGACCUUGGAUACUCCUAUAGCAUCUACCCUCAUGUCAUAUUCACUAGUAGCAUCAACCAUAUAGGUCAUAGGCUCUCACUACAAGAACGAAAACAACAACAAGAAAACUACAACAUGAUCAUCAUCACAUGCCUCGUCCUUCAUCAACAAAGCGACACUGCUACCACAUAAUACAAUCAUAUCUAUGUCAUAGACGCCUACCCCCACACCAACCACAGUCGUCGCUAAACAAGAAAAAAACAAAGCAGAUCCACCAAAAAAACAUAAUAUUACUUCACCACCAGCUAGUGCUUCAUCAACAAUCAGCACAUCUACUAUAACGAC